RNAcentral lists this ribosomal RNA (253 nucleotides) under uncultured bacterium. Its description in RNAcentral is "partial 16S ribosomal RNA". It matches the Rfam family "Bacterial small subunit ribosomal RNA", at positions 524 to 776 of the family's 1533-position model. The record is from RNAcentral.
GACGAGUCUCACGAACGUUAUUCGGAAUUACUGGGCUUAAAGGGUGCGUAGGCGGUGGAGUAAGUCGGAUGUGAAAUACCAUAGCUUAACUAUGGAACUGCACUCGAUACUACUUUGCUUGAGUAAGACAGAGGUGAGUGGAACUGAGGGUGGAGCGGUGAAAUGCGUUGAUAUCCUCAGGAACACCGGUGGCGAAGGCGACUCACUGGGUCUUUACUGACGCUGAUGCACGAAAGCUAGGGUAGCAAACGGG